RNAcentral lists this transfer RNA (98 nucleotides) under Hordeum vulgare subsp. vulgare (domesticated barley). It matches the Rfam family "tRNA". From Rfam's summary of the family: Transfer RNA (tRNA) molecules are approximately 80 nucleotides in length. Their secondary structure includes four short double-helical elements and three loops (D, anti-codon, and T loops). Lineage: Eukaryota; Viridiplantae; Streptophyta; Magnoliopsida; Poales; Poaceae. The record is from Rfam by way of RNAcentral.
GUUUUCAUAGCUCAGUUGGUUAGAGCACUUGUUUAGUAAGCGGGAUGCCUUAAGUUUUUGAAGGCAGGAUGUUUUAAGUUGAAGUCUGAAUGAAAGCA